GACGAACGCUGGCGGCGUGCUUAACACAUGCAAGUCGAGCGGUAAGGCCCUUUCGGGGGUACACGAGCGGCGAACGGGUGAGUAACACGUGGGUGACCUGCCCUCAGCUCUGGGAUAAGCCUGGGAAACCGGGUCUAAUACUGGAUAUGACUCCAUGACGCAUGUUGUGGGGUGGAAAGCCUUGUGCGGCUGAGGAUGGGCCCGCGGCCUAUCAGCUUGUUGGUGGGGUG
This 230-nucleotide ribosomal RNA is filed under the name uncultured bacterium. RNAcentral's name for it is "partial 16S ribosomal RNA". It matches the Rfam family "Bacterial small subunit ribosomal RNA", at positions 28 to 259 of the family's 1533-position model. The record is from RNAcentral.